RNAcentral lists this ribosomal RNA (460 nucleotides) under uncultured bacterium. Its description in RNAcentral is "partial 16S ribosomal RNA". It matches the Rfam family "Bacterial small subunit ribosomal RNA", at positions 338 to 795 of the family's 1533-position model. The record is from RNAcentral.
CCUACGGGGGGCAGCAGUGAGGAAUAUUGGUCAAUGGACGAGAGUCUGAACCAGCCAAGUAGCGUGAAGGAUGACUGCCCUAUGGGUUGUAAACUUCUUUUAUAUGGGAAUAAAAUGUUCCACGUGUGGGAUUUUGUAUGUACCAUAUGAAUAAGGAUCGGCUAACUCCGUGCCAGCAGCCGCGGUAAUACGGAGGAUCCGAGCGUUAUCCGGAUUUAUUGGGUUUAAAGGGAGCGUAGGUGGAUUGUUAAGUCAGUUGUGAAAGUUUGCGGCUCAACCGUAAAAUUGCAGUUGAAACUGGCAGUCUUGAGUACAGUAGAGGUGGGCGGAAUUCGUGGUUUAGCGGUGAAAUGCUUAGAUAUCACGAAGAACUCCGAUUGCGAAGGCAGUUCACUGGACUGCAACUGACACUGAGGCUCGAAAGUGUGGGUAUCAAACAGGAUUAGAUACCCUUGUAGUC